Molecule: non-coding RNA, 653 nt
Organism: Manis javanica (Malayan pangolin)
Lineage: Eukaryota; Metazoa; Chordata; Mammalia; Pholidota; Manidae
Source: RefSeq, a predicted model, not a curated record
GGGACUCCAUCCAGGCGGGAUCCGCAGCGCUAGGUGAGGCGAGAAGGAGGCGAUCAGCAGGCGGGGUGCAUGCUGCAGAGGGCAGGGGUCCACUCAGACCAGGGGCUCAGCGCCUGCCUAGCGUCACUCCUCAGGGAACCCGUAGUAGCCAACAAGCUUGGAGCUGCCGGAGUUUCCAAAGACCUCUGGAUCCUGUAGUCCUCUUGCACGCCAGCCACCGAAGAGCGCUGCUCAGCCGGCUCCCGGUUCCAAGACUUCAACUGCUAGGAAGAAAUCCUCUGGGAAACAGAUAAGAAGGAAGUAUUUUAUCAGCAUAAAAGAUCAGAGUCGUGGCAGCAGCCCAAAGGAAAUCCUUUUUCUUUCCAACGUCUGGAUUGUGAGGAAAGUCAAAAAUAUCAUUUCCCCCGUACCCCUCCUUUUACCUGAAUUUCCUAAGAAAACAAAGGAAGGCCUUUUUUUUCUUUUGGACGUUUGAUGGCGAAGUUGCACUGCGUUGAGCAAAGGGACAGAGGAGAGUUUCAAUUUGAUGUUUAUAUUCAGAAGAUAAACAUUGACCUUUCUCCAGAUUUAAAAAUGACUGAGUAAUUAGUAAUACUAGUUGUGGGGUUCCAUGAUCUGACCAGGAGCGAGGUGUUCCACAGAAGUGAGCUUUU